GACGAACGCUGGCGGCGUGCUUAACACAUGCAAGUCGAACGCUGAAGCUCAGCUUUUGUUGGGUGGAUGAGUGGCGAACGGGUGAGUAACACGUGAGUAACCUGCCCCCUUCUUUGGGAUAACGCCCGGAAACGGGUGCUAAUACUGGAUAUUCACUGGUCUUCGCAUGGGGGUUGGUGGAAAGGGUUUUUCUGGUGGGGGAUGGGCUCGCGGCCUAUCGGCUUGUUGGUGGGGUGAUGGCCUACCAAGGCUUUGACGGGUAGCCGGCCCGGGAGGGUGACCGGUCACAUAGGGACUGCGAUCAGACUCAGACUCAUACGGGAGGCAGCAGUGGGGAAUAUUGAACAAUGGGGGCAAGCCUGAUGCAGCGACGACGCGUGAGGGAUGGAGGCCUUCGGGUUGUGAACCUCUUUAGCUCAUGGUCAAGCCGCAACAAUGGUUGUGGUGAGGGUAGUGGGUAAAGAAGCGCCGGCUAACUACGUG
RNAcentral lists this ribosomal RNA (483 nucleotides) under uncultured bacterium. Its description in RNAcentral is "partial 16S ribosomal RNA". It matches the Rfam family "Bacterial small subunit ribosomal RNA", at positions 28 to 507 of the family's 1533-position model. The record is from RNAcentral.